GGCGGAAUUCCCUAAAAGAAGUCCCAUUAUAUUAGAGUAUUAGGGUUUAGUUCUCUCUCUUGUUUUACUUCUCUCUUAUUUUACAUCUCUCUUAGCCGUCAUCCCGUCAAACUUUCACUUCCUCUCUUAUUUUACUUCUCUCUCUGUCUCGCUGUCUCUCUCCUCACUCAAUCUCCUGCCUCCAAUAUUGUUCAGUUUUGCUUGAUAAUGUUAGAAAUUCGAAAAAACGAUUAGAAGAAUCUUAUCUUCUUCUCUGAGGGAAAGAAAAAGGACACAAUUUGCAUUGCCCAUGCUGAUGAAACAUGUGAAGAACUUAAGAUUGGAAGACUACUUCGCACUUACCUUCAAAAGUACUUCCUAUUUUGCUACUUGAGCAGCACAAACUUUGUAAAUUUUACUAGUCUUCUAAGGAAAAAAUAAAUUGUUGUUUCUUGUAUUUUUAUUAAAUUUGUGGCCAAAUGUACUAAUUAAAAAUUUUGGAAUAAAUAAAAAUUUGCAUUAAUGAAGCA
Molecule: long non-coding RNA, 509 nt
Organism: Chenopodium quinoa (quinoa)
Lineage: Eukaryota; Viridiplantae; Streptophyta; Magnoliopsida; Caryophyllales; Amaranthaceae
Exons: 2
Source: RefSeq, a predicted model, not a curated record